Molecule: ribosomal RNA, 254 nt
Filed under: uncultured bacterium
Lineage: Bacteria
Description: partial 16S ribosomal RNA
Rfam family: Bacterial small subunit ribosomal RNA
Source: RNAcentral
GGCGAACCGUGCAAACGUUGUUCGGAAUCACUGGGCUUAAAGGGCGCGUAGGCGGGCCAGCCAGUCUGUGGUGAAAGCCUCCAGCUUAACUGGAGAAGUGCCGUGGAUACUGCUGGCCUCGAGGAGGGUAGGGGCAUCUGGAACGGUCGGUGGAGCGGUGAAAUGCGUUGAUAUCGACCGGAACUCCGGUGGCGAAGGCGAGGUGCUGGGCCCUUUCUGACGCUGAGUGCGCGAAAGCCAGGGGAGCAAACGGG